RNAcentral lists this long non-coding RNA (538 nucleotides) under Cricetulus griseus (Chinese hamster). RNAcentral describes it as "lncRNA (ENSCGRG00015033341.1)". The record is from RNAcentral. Lineage: Eukaryota; Metazoa; Chordata; Mammalia; Rodentia; Cricetidae.
CACAGUUCUGGAGACUGACGGGCAUGACAGUGCACUUGUUUGGCCUUGGUGAGGACAUCUCGGUGGAUGGCAUCUCAACAGAGGGAGUACAUACAGGUGAGAGAUCCUAUUCAGGAUAUACAUCAUCAUUUCAAAAGGGAAGAAAGGGGCAUAAUGAAGAAAUACUGGACUAAAGUAAGACCAAAAACCAGCUGGACAAACUCUAAACUCUGCUUUUCCAAGUCUGAUGUCAAAGUGCUCUUCAGAUCUCCAACUCCUUUCAGCUAUGUUGACUGCAACACACUUGUGUCUGUUGGGCUGGUUCCACUCCCUGUAAGCAGCCCUCCUCAGCAAGUAUUCCACAGAAGAUGCCAAAAUGCUCUGGCAUCUUCAGCAUUUUGGGGUCUCCAAAGCAAUCAGGCUUCAACUUCACAACUUCAUGGAAUGGCUUCUCUGGAUCUCCAUGCAGGGAUACCCCUGCCACUUGCUUAGCCUCAGCAGCUUUCCUUAGUCACAGAGGGAGAUUGCAUAACCUCUUUCUUGUAUCCUUGACUCUAAA